GUCGUGACGAAGGCUGGUUGACGCCGUCACGAUGUCCCUCAAAUUCUUCGUUCGUCGGGAGUGUCGUGACGAUGAGUCACGAUUCUAAAUAUGGAAUGUCACAAGUAGCAACACCGAAACGGAAGCCCGCUAAUUUUUCUAUCAAUGGAGAAGUAAUCCGUAUCCAUGAGGUGAAAGGAAAGGUGUAAGGAAAGCCAUAUUGAGGAUCUGAUCACUGACAUAGGAACCUAUGAGUGAGUAAGAGUUACAUCCUAUCUACACAUACUGACUGGUAUUCGCGACGUCAGUCUAGUAUGUGUGCAUUCACAUCCCUACAAUAGAUUCAUAAUUCUUUGAUUAUAUACAUAAUUAUAGAUAGAUAUACACAAGUGUAAAAGAGUCGUCGCGACAUGGAGAUGCUGGGAUAUUAAUGUCAGUCAGAUCUAAGAGUGGUAAAUGUGGCUUUCCUUCUCCUUUAUUUAUUCUGUUAUGAUGAUGUUUACAAUUCAUAUGUGAUAGCAUUAUAAUUGGCAUUUGCUUGGUUAUAAAUAAGAAUAUCCAUGUGUAAAUGAGGCUGUAAGCUACCUAAAUAAAAUGAGUAGAAAAUAAUAUACAUGACAAGAGUUGUAAAGGCAUAUAAGACAAGUUUUAUGAUGAAAAUGAAUAAAUGUUCAAAAUUGGUCAUCUGACAGUAAUACUGUAAAAGGGCACUAGAUGGCGGCACUGGUCUAUAUUCGUGGUUAUUACGAACGAAAAUAAAAAGAAAUCUGAGGUGAAACCAUAAUUCUAGACACGAUGACAUUCUAGAAUGAUUACGAAGAUUCAUAUUUUGGUUAAAUAUGUGCUGUCUGACAGAAAAGGUACGUAAAAGAGUUCUGUUGUAGAAAAAUUAUACGAAAAUUUGAUGAAUGAAACGACGCCAUUGUGGUAGAAAGCGGCGAAACAAGUUAUGAUCAAAUGAUGUUUUAUUUACGAGAUAUUGUGUUUGUUUGUGUUGAAAUUCAUUAUAGAAAAUGAUUUUAUGAUUUAUAAUGUUGUUUACAUUUAUUUGUGUUCCCAAAUGACGUGAAUUUAUGAUUAUUGGUGUGUAAACAAACUACACCGGAAAUACUAUUUCUGUUUCGCGAGAACGAGAGAGAAAGAACCUCAGUGUUGCUGUUUAAUAAAAUGAUCCCGAUUGUGGGUAAAAUAUUUACGAGUGGGUAAAUAAUAUUAAGUUGAAGUUCAUAAUUUUGUAUGAAAUUCUUGGUUGUUGUAAAUUGAAUUACGUAUAAAUAAGAAGAAAAAAUUGUGUGUAUUAUUUAAUGGUAUACGCUAUUAAUGGAGAGUUAAGAAAUCAACAUAAUAUUUUUUAAGGUAUAUUCACGAGAGAGGAAUAUUUCAACGUGAUGUUGGCAACAUUACUUUGCUCGUUUUCUUCAGAAAAGUUUGACAUAGAGAGAUUGAAAAGUUCUUAUUUUAAAUAAAAUACCUUGUGAUAAGAGUUAAAUAGUGAAUAGUUUCAUAGUUUGUGAUUGGAUUUACUUGCUAAGAAUCUUGUUGGCAUAUACCGGUCUACUUACGAAUGAUGGAGUCAUUGCUAAUUUCUAGACUCCAAGAUAUAAUAAAUCAUAUCGAGAUUGUGACGAAACAGUGCGAAACAUUCUUACAAAAGGAAAUAAGUGAUAUUGACAAACAGCAAGCAGAAAUUGCUACCAAGAAAUUGGAAAAUCUUCAUUCUCGUUUUUCAACUGAAUUAAACAAUUAUUUUCGGUUGAGUAUCGAACCAUCUGCUGAUGACAUCUCAAUGUUUAGUGCUAUUCAAUUAAAUUCCGAGGAAAUUCUCAUAGAGUUGACCAUAAAGUUAAAAGAUUUGCGUGUAGACCGAAGUGAACGGUCAAAUAAAGCUACUUAUAGUGAAUUACCAAAAUUGAACUUACCUGAGUUUAGUGGUGAUGUGUUGCAAUGGCAACAGUUCUGGGACCAUUUCACAUCAAAUAUUGAUAGUAGACACUUACCAGACGUGGACAAAUUAUUGUA
RNAcentral lists this long non-coding RNA (1998 nucleotides) under Pectinophora gossypiella (pink bollworm). RNAcentral describes it as "uncharacterized LOC126370768". The record is from RNAcentral. Lineage: Eukaryota; Metazoa; Arthropoda; Insecta; Lepidoptera; Gelechiidae.